This is a long non-coding RNA of Columba livia (rock pigeon), 722 nucleotides long. RefSeq lists it as uncharacterized. NCBI's taxonomy places the organism in Eukaryota, Metazoa, Chordata, Aves, Columbiformes, Columbidae. The record is from RefSeq and is a predicted model, not a curated record. The transcript has 3 exons.
GGCCACAGGAAAAAUGGACCAAAACCAAAGCCGUACAGGAUCAGAAAGGAACGCGGGCAAAGGAUGGGAUCACAUGCCCCGGAUUUUAACUCUUUGGAAAAAUAAAUACUGAGCACCAGGCAGUGAGAACUCCUUUAGCGGUGUUUUGGACUAGGUGACCCACCGAGUCAGAUGGACUGGGAUUGUGUUAGAGCCGCUCACACUGGGACAAUUCACAAAACAGUUGAAAGAUGCUUCUAGUGACCAGCUACAAAGGGACCAGUGUGAGGCAGGCUGUGCAAAACAGUUUUAAGGCUUCAGAGAAGCAGAACUGGAACAUCAAAGCGUGGUGUCAGAGAUGGCUGUAACAGCCGUAUUUCGAAUUACAGCAACUGUUCUACUAACACGGUAAGAGAAACAGAAAGGAGCUGCCUCCACAGGCUGGGAAACAUCACUCGCAGCUCGCUGGUGCUAUUUCCUUACAGGAAAACGUUUUAGAGAGAGAAGGAAACUGCAAGGGAGGCCUCGGUGUUCUGUGCUGGAUGCCAGGGCCCCGCAGAGGAGCUGAAAUGCCUUUUGCAGGGAGGUGAGACAUCCCACACCGCAUCCAGGUCCCCACGGGGGAGGAAGGGAAUGGUCCUCACUGCCAUGCAGCGGAGAACCGCGGGCGAUGGAGGUGCAGGGGAUGGAGGGAUGCGGGUGAUGGAGAUGUGGGCGAUGGAGAGCCAUAGACUUACCGUCCU